This is a long non-coding RNA of Mytilus californianus (California mussel), 3118 nucleotides long. RefSeq lists it as uncharacterized. The record is from RefSeq and is a predicted model, not a curated record. The transcript is spliced from 3 exons. Lineage: Eukaryota; Metazoa; Mollusca; Bivalvia; Mytilida; Mytilidae.
AGGAAAAGGAAAUCUGAUGAAGCGAAGAAAUCUAAGGAAACGAAGAAAUUUGAGGAAAUGGAGAAAUCCGAGGAAAUGAAGAAAUCUGAGGAAAUAAAGAAAUCUGUGGAACUGUAUCUUCAGGCGAUCAAGAACACUAUAAAGAGACUGGAAAAAAUGGAAGAAGCCAACCAGCCUUCGAAAGGAACGAAAAAACUUUCGGGUGUUUGCAUAUGAAAAUAUCUGUUCCAUAAUUUGUAAAGAUGUUUAAGGAAAGGAGCCAGCAUGUACUACAGCUUUUACGGAGAGUUUUUGUAAGAUGAGGGAUAGUAGUUCUGUAGUAUAUUUUUUCGAUGAUGUGUGAACUCGAUAUGAAAGGAUUGUAUGAUAUAACUAAUAACAAUGUUGAUAAACAAUGCCAUUUACAUUAUUGUUCAUGUCUGAUAUAUAGCCGCGUAUUGUUUUGUAAGCUUUUUUUCGUUUUACCGACGUAUACCAAUCCGAAAAAGUUCAACUGUAAUCCGUAAUCAAGUUGAUUUACAAUUCAGAAUACGUAUCUCCUGAUGAAGUAUGAUUUUCUAGUUAAAUUGAUCGUAAAUUGAGCAUCUGUUAUCACACUUGUAUAGCUUUUAAAAUACUAGUUAAAAAGGAAGACUAUUGGAUUCGAGAACUGGGAACUACGAAACCCUAUGGUUGCAAUGGCAAAAUUAAUGGUAAAGGUAUUACAAUGCCGAGGAGUAGAGAGUACUAUUCAUCACAUUCAUCGAUCUACAAACAGGAGUAGAUAGAAUACCUGUACCAUAAAUUUGGACUUUGAAAAUGGAAAAGACCAAGAAAUGACAUAAAAAAUAAAGAGUUGUGACACAAUUGCAAAUGAAACAUCUCUUCACCAGAAACUAAAUGAUGCGGAUGUCAGUAAAUAUUGAUUACCCCGUAAGACUUCAACAAUUAGUAAAACCAAUACCGUAUAGUUAGCUAUAAAAUUUUUGCUAGUGACCGACAUGACACAACAUCAACAUAUACGAACAUGAAAUUAAUGAACAUAUCAGUUCUUGUUUUAGUAAUGUUUUGUACGAAUUUCGCUUUAUGUGAAUACAACUACAAGACUACUAGUGGUCCGCGACUAGAACAUAUGUAGUAUAGCUUUUUUUUCUUUAAAUAAGAACCCAAUGGAGUAUCAACCCAAGAAAUAUCGUCAAACAUGUUAAAUUUUAUCUUCUUUACAACUUAUAUAUUUCAGGAAUUUGCUGGUCAGAGCACUGAAGGACAGCCUCCCAUGCAGACUUUGAUAAUAACAACGAAACCAUAACUUUGAAUCAGUGAAAUGAGACAGAAAAACAGCAUGAUCACAAAGACGUUUUGAUCAAAUGUCAGCUAUAGAUCCAACAAAACAUUAUGGACAAUAAGAGAUCAGUUGGAUAUGGAAAUAUUUUUUUUACUUGUGUUUUGUUUAACUAUAGUGUUUGUCUAUUUGUUGUUUUUCUGCUUGGCUAUCGUGUUGUCUGUUUUUACUUGACUAGUGAUUUUGGUUUGCUUUCAAAUAUACAAUUUUUUAAUAUCAAAAGAAAUGUCAUCAUUUACAUUAAUGCAUUGUUUGAGAAUGCCGUUUUUUCAUUUUUGUUGCUAUGUUGAUACAGAUAGAAAAUUUACAAGAAUCUUCUCAUAAUCAGAAAACUAUGUUAGAAGUAUUAGUUAAUUAUACCCUUUCCUGUCUUUUCAAUGGUGUGGAAUGUGGCGACCAGCUAUUUGCCAAUUUGUAAAAGUUUGUAGCCUGUAAAAUCCAAAGUAGGUGAAACACUUUUUGAACCUAUCACAGAAUUUAACAUGUUGUACCUUUGUACGCCUAUUUCAUGAUGUUUAGCUACUAUUUGUAUGAGCUUAACUUAGUCAUAUCCUAACAAUAUAUUUUGUAGUCUGAUAUUCUCCUUAAUCACAAUUUAAUACAAAAUGAACCAUUUAAUGAUAUUGUGCCAUCCUAUUUCAUAAAUCACUCGUUAUAGUCAGCAAUUUAACACUAUAAAUGUUGUGUGUGUCUGGAGCGCUUUUCUUAUUGUAUUUUUAAUAUUACUAGAACACACCCGCGAUAUUGCGGGACCGGGACUGAAUUAAAGUACCUACGCCUUAUUUUUAGUAUUCGUAUUGUCAUCUGAUAAAGUUAUGCUGAUUAUAAGGUGCACAGUUUUCUCUGCUUUCAAAAUCUUUCUGUUUGAACCCGUUUACCCGGAACUUGUUGAUUAUUGGAAAACAAAAGGGCUUGGAAUGGUGUAAUUUUUAAUCAACACCAUUGUCCUAUAUAAGUUAUAUAUAAAGUUGAAUUCUUUGAUUUGUCAUUUUUACGUCAUGCUGGCUAACAAAUUGGACCUCGUUAUCUUAGUAGUAUAGAUGGAUAUAUCGCCGUAUUUUAUAUUCAAUAUUUUAUGAAGGAGUGUAUGAACCCUUUUUGUUUUUUAAAUAAGUAUGGUAAAAUUUUCAGUAUACCUGUUUAUUAGGUGAACAAAAAACGGUCUUUAGAUUUAGUAGUAUAGAGAGUACAUGUACAGUGUAUAAAUACUGGGGCCGGGAGUAGUUUGUUUUAAGUUCGGUACAGCAUGAUUAUUGUAUAAUGAGGCAAGUACUUUGAUUCAUUAUGAAUUAUGAUAUAUAUAUACUACUUGUUCUUUAACAUCUAUACUACUAAAUCUAAAGACAGUUUUUUGUUCACCUAAUAAACGUAUAACCCAAGAAAGCUACUGCUUACAUUAGACCGGAAAUAUAAUGACAUGACUAAAAGGAAAUCGCAUCGGAUAGUUCCAAAACUUAUUAAUUUGUUUAAUUGCUUAUUGUUUCAAACAGUAAUCGAUGUAAAAGGGUAAAAUUUUCAGUAUACCCUAUCAAGUAUAUAUACCCUUAUAUAAGCUUGACUUGUAGCUUUCUUCGGUUAUACGUUUAAAAAAUGGUCUUUAGAUUUAGUAGUAUAGAUUCGAAAAAUCAGAGCAUAUGCAUUAUUUAUAAUUAUUUAAAUACUUGAUUUUUUCCCCCAAUUUACGGUUUUUGAUAACAGUCUUGGUAUUUUUUGGUUUAUUUUUUAGUGUUUUUAAUAUAAUCAAAAAGCGUGUUAUUCAUAUUGUAACCAUAGUUUAAAAUAAAAUUAGAGUGCAAA